UACAGAGGGUGCAAGCGUUGUUCGGAAUUACUGGGCGUAAAGCGCGUGUAGGCGGCUUGAUCAGUCAGAUGUGAAAUCCCUCGGCUUAACCGAGGAACUGCAUCUGAUACUGUCAGGCUAGAGUGUCGGAGGGGAUGGCGGAAUUCCUGGUGUAGAGGUGAAAUUCGUAGAUAUCAGGAGGAACACCGAUGGCGAAGGCAGGUCUCUGGGCAUUAACUGACGCUGAGGAGCGAAAGCAUGGGGAGCGAACAGG
Molecule: ribosomal RNA, 253 nt
Filed under: uncultured bacterium
Lineage: Bacteria
Description: partial 16S ribosomal RNA
Rfam family: Bacterial small subunit ribosomal RNA
Source: RNAcentral